Molecule: long non-coding RNA, 3312 nt
Organism: Carassius gibelio (silver crucian carp)
Lineage: Eukaryota; Metazoa; Chordata; Actinopteri; Cypriniformes; Cyprinidae
Exons: 2
Source: RefSeq, a predicted model, not a curated record
CCGGGGUCGACAUAAGAUUCAUGACCUGUGGAGCUCUACUGUAUAUCAGGUGGUAAAAGCCCCUCUGUCUGGUGGUUCAGUGUAUACAGUGGCUCCGGUUAACGACCUGACUCAAGUCCGGCAUGUCCAUCGGUCAGCAUUGAAACCUCGAGUCCAAGGGGAGGCAGUAGCGGAGGACCUCUCCGAAAGUUCAGUCAAUUUACCCAUGCCCUCAGAACCUGAGGAAGAAUUGGAAGAUGGGGACUUGGCAUAUGUGGUUUCCGAGGUCCCAUCGUUAGCUCCUGGAGGGAACACUUUGAGAGCAGAUCUAUCUGGAACAGUGCUGGUUGCUGAUCCCCCAGCACCCACAGAAGCAUCCAAUGGGGAGUUGGUAUCUGAAGAGAGAACCCUCCCCUUGGAGUCUCCUAAUCCAUUAGAGGUGGUUCCAUGCCGGACGGGACGAGUAGGGGCAGGUCAACAUUCUAAUGUGCACCGUUUACCACGGGUGAUAGGAGCUGGAAAUGUGAAUCCUCCAGCCUGUGGGGCCAAUUCAGUUAUGGCAUGAUUUAGGCCUUGGAAGUAGGGUCUCGUGUUUAAAUAUUUCAACGUCGGGACGACGAUGAAGAAGGGGGGGUAGAAUGUAGCAGUACGAUCUGCCCUCCCCUGAUGUCAUCUAGUAAAUUGAGGGCAUGUCUGGUUAGGGUUGUUUACCUGCCUAUAAAAUCGUUUCCGUUUGUGCUAUGCGUGUGCGUUCGUCCGGUGUAAGCGAGCGAGCCACCGUACUUCCGGGCUUUUGUGUGCAUGGUGACGAGGUAGGAGCGUUUGCAGUGAGUGUUUUGAAAUGCUGAUGGUCUUGCACUGGGUUUUACGAACCGAUUUUACUUCGGUGGACUGAGGAGCUUUUCGGGAAGCCCUUUAAUCGCAGUCCGUUAUGGAGACAGUUGUUUUGUACAGCUACAUCUGUGCUUCGUGAGUCGCAGUACAGGUGCGGGUCAAUGUGCAAGGGACGUCGCAGUGGGCUGCUGUAGUGGGCUUGUCGUUUGCUGUGUGGCUUUUCUGCACUGUGCAUCGUUUAAUAGUUUUGAUGUUUCGCCGACUAACUGUUACCUGUUCUAUCCAACUACGGCUGCUUCACGCUGUGUCUAAUUUGUUUGCUUCGCUUUGCUCAGCUGCGCGUCUCAUUCCAUACAUUUGGUCUUUGGAACUGCGCUCUUCCAUCUGCUUUCAUGCGGCUGCAUUAACAGCGGAUUGAUAUUGACGUUAAUAUAACGUUGUCGGGUGACGACUGUGUAUUGCUGCAUCAACUGAGAACUUGCAGGAUCAGCUGGUCCGCGGUCUGGACUCGGGGUAUGGCGUUUAUUUCCCACCAGUACUGUGAGUAACUGAUUGAAACGUGGCGUGCAACAGGGUAAUUGCUACCUAACUGUCACUAGCAUUGUUUUCUUUCGUCUGGGGUUAUUGUGUUCGAUGUAAUUGUUUAUUUUGUAUUAUUCUCCUUUGUUUAUUAUAAUCUUUCAUGAUUUUUUUUAGUUUUUUUGUUAUUUGUUUGACUUUGUAGUAUGUCUUUUGGUUCUUGAUCAAUCCAGUGGAUUUAUUAUUAUUAUAUCAUUGUUGUUGUUUUUUGUGUACCUGUGUUCGGUGGUUCUUUGUACUGGCGUUCUGCUUCUUUCUGCCUGCUGGUAACCCAGUAGCUGGGCCGCUUUAUGGAACCAGUAGGUUUGGAUGUGACUGUUGAGAACCAGGUUGCUGUAUGUGAUGCUUGUUUCAAUUUAUGUGUUUUUAAAUUGUGAUUUCUGUUUCUUUUCCCUUCAGGAGUGGGGUGGCCGCCGGCAGCAGUGUAGCCUCUUGUGGUGGUGGGCCCUUUACCUAUUUGCAGUGAUCACAGUGAAGUGUGCCGUGCUGUGGUGUGUGUGUGUGUGUGUGUGUGUGCACGCGUGAGCGCUAUCUCCUCUGCUCAAAGGACGCCAUGCCUUCCCCCUCCUUGAAGUGGGACGUUUUGUUUGUUUCUAAUUAUUUGAUAUAGUGAAUACAAUUUGAAUCUGUUUUAAAUAAAGUUGUCCUAACUUAACUCUGGCCUGAUACCUGACCCAGUCGUGACGAACCUGUGUGCUUUAAAGUUAAGGGCAGUCCCGGAUAUAGCCUCCGGGUGGCGUAGUCUGUAGAACUUACCAGUCCGUACCGCCACAUUUGGCGUAGUCGGCAGGGUUUACCAGUCCGUACCGCCACACCACUAAUAAACUUACAAAUUCACAAAGCAAUAAAAAACACAGGAGAUGAACUUGCCACCUGAAGUAGUGGUACAACAAGGACGGUCCAUUGCCCAAAAGUUUUGUUUAGCACAAUAAACAUUGUACUAAAUCCACCAAUAGCACCUUUGUUAGAUUCCACUUUAUAUACUUGUGAGGAUUUCUUGAACUUUUUUGUAAGUAAGAUUGAACAUAUUAAAAAAGAUAUCGUUCCCUGCAGUAUUGUUCUGGAAGUCCCCAUGUUAAGUUCUUACAUAUUUGACUCUUUUGAUCAUGUCUCCCUUCCAUUUCUUGCAAAUUUAGUCAAGCAUAUAAAAUCAUCGUCCACUUCACUGGAUGCCGUUCCUCCACAGUUUCUAAAAGCUGGGUUCAAAACUAUGGGCCCUAGUAUACAGUCAAUUGUGAACAGCUCUCUAUCUAAUGGUUCUGUUCCAUCUUGUCUUAAACAUGCAGUGGUUUCUCCUUUACUUAAAAAACCAAGCCUAGCAGCUACAGAACUGAUUAACUUCCGUCCCAUUUCUAAACUACCGUUCCUAUCUAAAGUCAUAGAAAAGGUUGUUUUAUCACAAAUUACUCCUUUUUUAUCUACUAAUGCUCUUUUAGACGAAUUUCAAUCUGGUUUCAGAGCUGGUCACAGCACAGAGACUGCUCUGAUAAAAGUUUUGAAUGAUUUGUUUUUAGCAUCUGACUCUGGGAGGGCUGUGGUUUUAAUUAUGUUAGAUCUCAGUGACACUGUGGAUCAUUCAAUUCUUUUAAAAAGGCUGGAGUGUGAGGUUGGGUUUAGGAGUACUGCUCUGAAAUGGUUCCAUUCAUACCUUAAGGAUAGAACAUUCUCUGUUAAUUUUGCAAAUGUCUCUUCUUCUGUGGUUCCUUUAAAAUACGGUCUACCUCAGGGCUCUAUUUUAAGUCCUAUAUUGUUUUCUCUGUAUAUGCGCCCCUUGGCAUCCAUCUGUCGGCGUUAUGACAUCUCGUACCAUAUGUACGCAGAUGACACACAGAUUUAUUUUACCCUUAAAGUUGGUGAUGAACAGUCUUUGCAAUCUUUGUUACUCUGUCUGAAUUAAAUUAAAAUUUGGCUCUCUAAUAA